Molecule: ribosomal RNA, 878 nt
Filed under: Cystoderma amianthinum
Lineage: Eukaryota; Fungi; Basidiomycota; Agaricomycetes; Agaricales; Squamanitaceae
Description: eukaryotic LSU rRNA
Rfam family: Eukaryotic large subunit ribosomal RNA
Source: RNAcentral
GGAUUCCCCUAGUAACUGCGAGUGAAGCGGGAAAAGCUCAAAUUUAAAAUCUGAUAGUCUUAGGCUGUCCGAGUUGUAAUCUAGAGAAGUGUUAUCCGCGCUGGACCGUGUACAAGUCUCCUGGAAUGGAGCGUCAUAGAGGGUGAGAAUCCCGUCUUUGACACGGACUACCAGGGCUUUGUGAUGCGCUCUCAAAGAGUCGAGUUGUUUGGGAAUGCAGCUCAAAAUGGGUGGUAAAUUCCAUCUAAAGCUAAAUAUUGGCGAGAGACCGAUAGCGAACAAGUACCGUGAGGGAAAGAUGAAAAGAACUUUGGAAAGAGAGUUAAACAGUACGUGAAAUUGCUGAAAGGGAAACGCUUGAAGUCAGUCGCGUUGACCAGGGAUCAACCUUGCUCUUGCUGGGUGUACUUUCUGGUUAACGGGUCAACAUCAAUUUUGAUUGUUGGAAAAAGAUCAAGGGAAUGUAGCAUCUUCGGAUGUGUUAUAGCCUUUGGUUGUAUACAACAAUUGGGAUUGAGGAACUCAGCACGCCGAAAGGCCGGGUUUUAACCACGUUCGUGCUUAGGAUGUUGGCAUAAUGGCUUUAAUCGACCCGUCUUGAAACACGGACCAAGGAGUCUAACAUGCCUGCGAGUGUUUGGGUGGAAAACCCGAGCGCGUAAUGAAAGUGAAAGUUGAGAUCCCUGUCGCGGGGAGCAUCGACGCCCGGACCAGAAAUUUAUGGACGGUUCCGCGGUAGAGCAUGUAUGUUGGGACCCGAAAGAUGGUGAACUAUGCCUGAAUAGGGUGAAGCCAGAGGAAACUCUGGUGGAGGCUCGUAGCGAUUCUGACGUGCAAAUCGAUCGUCAAAUUUGGGUAUAGGGGCGAAAGACUAAUCG